GGAGGGAUGGCCGAGCGGACGAAGGCAGCAGUCUUGAAAACUGCCGGGCCCCUCGCGGGUCCCGUGGGUUCGAAUCCCACUCCCUCCG
This 88-nucleotide transfer RNA is filed under the name Acidimicrobiia bacterium. RNAcentral describes it as "tRNA-Ser". It matches the Rfam family "tRNA". Rfam says of the family: Transfer RNA (tRNA) molecules are approximately 80 nucleotides in length. Their secondary structure includes four short double-helical elements and three loops (D, anti-codon, and T loops). The record is from RNAcentral. Lineage: Bacteria; Bacillati; Actinomycetota; Acidimicrobiia.